UCUCCGUAGGUGAACCUGCGGAGGGAUCAUUACUGAGUGAGGGCUCACGCCCGACCUCCAACCCUUUGUGAACCAAACUUGUUGCUUCGGGGGCGACCCUGCCGGCACUCUGUCGCCGGGCGCCCCCGAAGGUCUCCCAACACUGCAUCUUUGCGUCGGAGUUUGAAACAAAUGAAACAAAACUUUCAACAACGGAUCUCUUGGUUCUGGCAUCGAUGAAGAACGCAGC
Molecule: unclassified non-coding RNA, 229 nt
Filed under: uncultured fungus
Lineage: Eukaryota; Fungi
Description: sequence contains ITS1, 5.8S rRNA gene
Rfam family: 5.8S ribosomal RNA (bases 181-229)
Source: RNAcentral